CAGCAACUCUUCUAUGGUUAAUCCACAUCAGCACUGUCAAUUUUCUAUUCUCUCAAUCUUUGAUUCACGUAUCUAUUGUUAUUCCAAUUCCAAAAACGGUUUCAUUCACGUAUCUAUAGCUAUUCCAAUUCCAAAAACGGUUUCACACGUUUUCUUUUUUCUACCGAACUGUUUCUAUUCCAAUUCCAAAACGCGGUCUCUCUUUAUAUCGAUUUGUUUCUUCUUCCUCUCAAUCUUCAUACAAAACCCUCAUCCACUCUCGAUCGUGAACGGUGGUGCAACCUCUUUCUCAGAUGAAAGGGCGCCGAUUGUUGGUUGAAGGGUUAUGUAAUUGAUGAUUUUGUCGUCGUCGCUCAUCUGUUUCACGAGACAGAAGAAUCAUGACCUGAACUGCAACAACAAUAACUCUGUUUCCUUACUCACCCAUGUUCCAGAACUACAAACUCAUCCAUGUUUUCUCUUAUCUCAUCCAUUGUUUCGAUAGGAAUCAAUCCCGGAACGAUGGGAAAGCUCAAUCAAUAAUCGAUGGAACUCACGGCACAUGGUUGUUCGAUUAAUCUUCUACCGUCAUUGCAUGACCUAACGCAUCUCAGUGAAUUAAAGGUAUCAGCUUUCUGGAAUGACAACAUCGGCUUAUGCUGUUGCUGAGAAAUAUAUGUCAAUGCGUUAAAUCAUGAUACCAGAGACCUUCCAGGCGGUUUUGAUUUUUCUGAUCGGGAAACACCGACCAAUCAUCAGGUCUCAGAAAGCAUUAACUGUGAAUGGAAAGCCAAUAAAUAAAUUGCCUAAUAGGAAAAAGGCAUUCAUGAUGAUGAUUGGAUUUACAUUUGUGAUUUUAAUGCAAUACAAUAUACAGAGUGGGGAUUGAAAUUCCAAAAAUUGAAGUUCGUUAUGAGAAUUUGUCAGUGGAAGGAGAUGAGUAUGUUGGAAGUAAAGCGCUUCCUACUCUUCUUAAUGUCAGCGUCAAUACUUUCAAGAGCAUUUUGGGAUUGUUUCAUCUUUGCAUCGACGAAGAAAAGAGAGAUUUAGAUUCUCAAAAAUGUUUGUGGGAUUGUGAAACCCUCAAGGAAAACUUGAUCCUGAUUUAAGGGCUUCUGGGAAAAUCACUUAUUGUGGUCAUGAGCUAAAUGAAUUCGUUGCUGCAAAAACUUGCGCUUAUAUUUGUCAGCAUGACAUUCACUAUGGAGAAGUCACAGUGAGAGAGACAUUGGAUUUUUCAUCACGUUGUUUAGGUGUUGGCAAUAGGUAUAAAAUGUUGAUGGAACUCUCGCGGAGGGAGAGAGAAGCUAGAAUCAAACCAGACCCUGAGAUUGAUGCUUUCAUGAAGACUACUGCAUUAUCAGGCCAAGAAACCAAUUUAGUAACUGAUUAUGUUCUCAAGAUGCUUGGAUUAGAUACUUGUGCUGAUAAGGUGGAUUUAAUAGAAAGCAGCGAUCAACUAUGCUUGAGGAAACUGACAGCUUGCCCACUUGCAUCCUAAGGGAAGUUUGUUGUCUAGCUUCUAUAAUAACAACAGGGUUCGUGUACCAAUUAAGCGAACAGUUGAAAGAGACUACUUUCAGCAAUAUAGUUUUAAAUUGUAGUUUUAAAUUGCAGUUGUAGAGUGCAAUUUAAAACUAUAUUAAGAUCAAAUGUGAACUAUUAUUAUCAUCAAUGUGGCUGCAAUUGCAUCUCAAAAUCUGUUAUAUUGUGUCCUCCUUUUCCCUUUUUCGAUGCUGCAAGUUGAAUUAAGACUAUUGUGAUGUGCUAUGUGGAACGGUUCAAAAUUUAUCUCUUUAUAUUUCAUGUUUUCAAAGCAUUUAACAUGAAUUGCAGAUGAGCUCAUUGCCAAUGCUGCUUACAUUGGCUCUCCUGGGAAAGGUAUCCUUGCUGCUGAUGAAUCUACGGGCACAAUCGGCAAGCGAUUCGCCAACAUCAGCGUGGAGAAUACCGAAGGAAACAGGCGCACUCUUCGCGAA
RNA transcript from Vicia villosa (hairy vetch), 1958 nucleotides. It is a transcript of the gene named ABC transporter G family member 34-like, with no coding region annotated. The transcript has 7 exons. The record is from RefSeq and is a predicted model, not a curated record. NCBI's taxonomy places the organism in Eukaryota, Viridiplantae, Streptophyta, Magnoliopsida, Fabales, Fabaceae.